UUGACCUCGGAUCAGGUAGGGAUACCCGCUGAACUUAAGCAUAUCAAUAAGCGGAGGAAGAAAAGCACUUUGGAAAGAGAGUCAAAAACACGUGAAAUUGUUGAAAGGGAAGCGCUUGCAGCCAGACUUGCCUGUAGUUGCUCAUCCGAGCUCCCGCUCGGUGCACUCUUCUGCGGGCAGGCCAGCAUCAGUCCGGGCGGUCGGAUAAAGGCCUCGGGAAUGUAGCUCCCCUCGGGGAGUGUUAUAGCCCGGGGUGCCAUGCGACCAGCCUGGACUGAGGUCCGCGCAUCUGCUAGGAUGCUGGCGUAAUGGCUGUAAGCGGCCCGUCUUGAAACACGGACCAAGGAGUCUAACAUCUAUGCGAGUGUUUGGGUGUCAAGCCCGGGCGCGCAAUGAAAGUGAACGGAGGUGGGAACCCCUCGGGGCGCACCAUCGACCGAUCCUGAUGUCUUCGGAUGGAUUUGAGUAAGAGCAUAGCUGUUGGGACCCGAAAGAUGGUGAACUAUGCCUGAAUAGGGUGAAGCCAGAGGAAACUCUGGUGGAGGCUCGCAGCGGUUCUGACGUGCAAAUCGAUCGUCAAAUUUGGGCAUAGGGGCGAAAGACUAAUCGAACUAUCUAGUAGCUGGUUCCUGCCGAAGUUUCCCUCAGGAA
RNAcentral lists this ribosomal RNA (651 nucleotides) under Atrocalyx nordicus. RNAcentral describes it as "partial large subunit ribosomal RNA". It matches the Rfam family "Eukaryotic large subunit ribosomal RNA", at positions 1 to 979 of the family's 3401-position model. Lineage: Eukaryota; Fungi; Ascomycota; Dothideomycetes; Pleosporales; Lophiotremataceae. The record is from RNAcentral.